RNAcentral lists this unclassified non-coding RNA (430 nucleotides) under soil metagenome. RNAcentral describes it as "partial contains 5.8S ribosomal RNA, internal transcribed spacer 2, and large subunit ribosomal RNA". The stretch from base 1 to 120 matches the Rfam family "5.8S ribosomal RNA", at positions 35 to 154 of the family's 154-position model. The record is from RNAcentral.
GAUGAAGAACGCAGCGAAAUGCGAUACGUAAUGUGAAUUGCAGAAUUCAGUGAAUCAUCGAAUCUUUGAACGCAUAUUGCGCUCUCUGGUAUUCCGGAGAGCAUGCUUGUUUGAGUAUCAGUAAACACCUCAACUCCCUUUUCUUUUUUGAAAUGGGAGCUGGACUUGAGUGAUCCCAACGCUUUUCUCACCGGGAAGUGGCGGGUUACUUGAAAUGCAGGUGCAGCUGGACUUUUCUCUGAGCUAUAAGCAUAUCUAUUUAGUCUGCCUAAAAACAGAUUAUUACCUUUGCUGCAGCUAACAUAAAGGAGAUUAGUUCUUGUGCUGACUGAUGCAGGAUUCACAGAGACAGCUUCGGCUGACUUUGUAAACUCGAUCUCAAAUCAAGUAAGACUACCCGCUGAACUUAAGCAUAUCAAUAAGCGGAGGA